UAUUUCAUUGAGACUUCGGUGGAUUUGAUCUAUUUCUAGUGGCGGACGGGUGAGUAACGCGUGGGUAACCUGCCUUAUACAGGGGGAUAACAGUCAGAAAUGGCUGCUAAUACCGCAUAAGCGCACAGAGCUGCAUGGCUCAGUGUGAAAAACUCCGGUGGUAUAAGAUGGACCCGCGUCGGAUUAGCUUGUUGGUGGGGUAACGGCCCACCAAGGCGACGAUCCAUAGCCGGCCUGAGAGGGUGAACGGCCACAUUGGGACUGAGACACGGCCCAGACUCCUACGGGAGGCAGCAGUGGGGAAUAUUGCACAAUGGGGGAAACCCUGAUGCAGCGACGCCGCGUGAAGGAAGAAGUAUCUCGGUAUGUAAACUUCUAUCAGCAGGGAAGAUAGUGACGGUACCUGACUAAGAAGCCCCGGCUAACUACGUGCCAGCAGCCGCGGUAAUACGUAGGGGGCAAGCGUUAUCCGGAUUUACUGGGUGUAAAGGGAGCGUAGACGGUGUGGCAAGUCUGAUGUGAAAGGCAUGGGCUCAACCUGUGGACUGCAUUGGAAACUGUCAUACUUGAGUGCCGGAGGGGUAAGCGGAAUUCCUAGUGUAGCGGUGAAAUGCGUAGAUAUUAGGAGGAACACCAGUGGCGAAGGCGGCUUACUGGAC
Molecule: ribosomal RNA, 659 nt
Filed under: uncultured Lachnospiraceae bacterium
Lineage: Bacteria; Bacillati; Bacillota; Clostridia; Lachnospirales; Lachnospiraceae
Description: bacterial SSU rRNA
Rfam family: Bacterial small subunit ribosomal RNA
Source: RNAcentral